AAUGUUGAACAUCCAAGAAGAAAAAUGAGCAGUGUCAAUAGACAUUUACCAGCAGUAAGACAAAUGACCAACAAAAAUAAGUAGAACGUUCACCCACCCCAGAAUCAAAUGAUUCACAGUAAAAUAAAAGAUACUUUUCAAUGACCAAAUUGGCUGAGAUAAGACAACUGGGAUAAUGUCCAGCCUGGCUGGCAAAUGUGGAGUGAUGCUCCCUUGUACAGAGCUGUGAGUAAACUGGGACAGUUUCUGGAAGUAAAGAUUAAAGAUUCUUAAUGCUAAGACAUUUGACCAGCAAUAAACUUGUCCUAGGAAUCUAUCUUAAAGAAACAAUAAAAAGCUACACCCAAGGACUUUUACUUCAACUUUGUAAAUAAUAGCAAGACAUCGGAGAUAGCACAGCUAAAUAGGAGACUGCCCAGUGCUAUGGUUUGGAUGUGGGGUGUCCCCCAAAAGCCCAUGUGUGAGACAACUCAGGAAGGUUCAGAGGAGAAAUGAUCUGGUUGUGAGAGUUUUAACCCAAUCAGUGAAUUAAUGUCUUGAUGGGAUUGACUGAAGGAGGGUGGGGUAUGGCUGGAGGAGGUGGGCAUUGGAGGCGUGGCUCUGGGGUAUAUGUUUGUAACUGGCAGGUGGAGUCUCUCUCUGCUUCCGGAUCAUCAUGGGAACCACUUCCCUCUGCCACACUCUUCCACCAUGAUGCGUUACCGCACCUCGAGCCCCAAGGGAUGGAGCCAGCUGUCUAUGGACUGAGACCUCUGAAACUUUGAGCCUCCAAACAAAGUUUUCCUCCUUGGCAAUUGUUCUGUUCAGAUCUUUAGUCACAGCAGUGAAAAAGCUGACUGAAACAUCCAGUAAAGUGCAC
This 859-nucleotide long non-coding RNA is filed under the name Marmota monax (woodchuck). The record is from RNAcentral. Lineage: Eukaryota; Metazoa; Chordata; Mammalia; Rodentia; Sciuridae.